GCGGCGUGCCUAAUACAUGCAAGUAGAACGCUGAAGGAGGAGCUUGCUUCUCCGGAUGAGUUGCGAACGGGUGAGUAACGCGUAGGUAACCUGCCUGGUAGCGGGGGAUAACUAUUGGAAACGAUAGCUAAUACCGCAUAACAGUAGAUAUUGCAUGAUAUCUGCUUGAAAGGUGCAAUUGCAUCACUACCAGAUGGACCUGCGUUGUAUUAGCUAGUUGGUGAGAUAACGGCUCACCAAGGCAACGAUACAUAGCCGACCUGAGAGGGUGAUCGGCCACACUGGGACUGAGACACGGCCCAGACUCCUACGGGAGGCAGCAGUAGGGAAUCUUCGGCAAUGGACGGAAGUCUGACCGAGCAACGCCGCGUGAGUGAAGAAGGUUUUCGGAUCGUAAAGCUCUGUUGUAAGAGAAGAACGAGUGUGAGAGUGGAAAGUUCACACUGUGACGGUAUCUUACCAGAAAGGGACGGCU
This 475-nucleotide ribosomal RNA is filed under the name unidentified oral bacterium RP55-46. RNAcentral describes it as "bacterial SSU rRNA". It matches the Rfam family "Bacterial small subunit ribosomal RNA", at positions 39 to 498 of the family's 1533-position model. The record is from RNAcentral.